ACUCUAAGCGGUGGAUCACUCGGCUCAUGGGUCGAUGAAGAACGCAGCAAACUGUGCGUCAUCGUGUGAACUGCAGGACACAUGAACAUCGACAUUUUGAACGCAUAUCGCAGUCCAUGCUGUUAUGUACUUUAAUUAAUUUUAUAGUGCUGCUUGGACUACAUAUGGUUGAGGGUUGUAAGACUAUGCUAAUUAAGUUGCUUAUAAAUUUUUAUAAGCAUAUGGUAUAUUAUUGGAUAAAUAUAAUAAUUUUUAUUCAUAAUAUUAAAAAAUAAAUGAAAAACAUUAUCUCACAUUUGAAUGUGAAAAACGAAGAGAAAUAUUUUCUUUUUCAAUCAAAUAAUACUGAGAAAUGUCUAGCAUAAAAAAUUGAAAUAUUUUUCAUCUAGAAUUGUCUCUUAUUAAUGAUUCGGAAAUAGAAAAAUCUUGGUUAUGUUAUUAUUCUUCGUUGGUUCGUUAAAAAUGGAUAAAUAAAAACUUUGCAUACAAGAAUUAAUAAAAAUGUUAUAACGAAUUUAAUUAAAUGUUUUAUCAUUAUAUAUAAAGAAUUUAUGGCAAGAUAAAGUUAUAUACAACCUCAACUCAUAUGGGACUACCCCUGAAUUUAAGCAUAUUAAUUAGGGGAGGAAAAGAAACUAACAAGGAUUUUCUUAGUAGCGGCGAGCGAAAAGAAAACAGUUCAGCACUAAGUCACUUUGUCUAUAUGGCAAAUGUGAGAUGCAGUGUAUGGAGCGUCAAUAUUCUAGUAUGAGAAAUUAACGAUUUAAGUCCUUCUUAAAUGAGGCCAUUUACCCAUAGAGGGUGCCAGGCCCGUAUAACGUUAAUGAUUACUAGAUGAUGUUUCCAAAGAGUCGUGUUGCUUGAUAGUGCAGCACUAAGUGGGUGGUAAACUCCAUCUAAAACUAAAUAUAACCAUGAGACCGAUAGUAAACAAGUACCGUGAGGGAAAGUUGAAAAGAACUCUGAAUAGAGAGUUAAACAGUACGUGAAACUGCUUAGAGGUUAAGCCCGAUGAACCUGAAUAUCCGUUAUGGAAAAUUCAUCAUUAAAAUUGUAAUAUUUAAAUAAUAUUAUGAGAAUAGUGUGCAUUUUUUCCAUAUAAGGACAUUGUAAUCUAUUAGCAUAUACCAAAUUUAUCAUAAAAUAUAACUUAUAGUUUAUUCCAAUUAAAUUGCUUGCAUUUUAACACAGAAUAAAUGUUAUUAAUUUGAUAAAGUGCUGAUAGAUUUAUAUGAUUACAGUGCGUUAAUUUUUCGGAAUUAUAUAAUGGCAUAAUUAUCAUUGAUUUUUGUGUUUAUUAUAUGCACUUGUAUGAUUAACAAUGCGAAAGAUUCAGGAUACCUUCGGGACCCGUCUUGAAACACGGACCAAGGAGUCUAACAUAUGUGCAAGUUAUUGGAUAUAAACCUAAUAGCGUAAUUAACUUGACUAAUAAUGGGAUUAGUUUUUUAGCUAUUUAUAGCUAAUUAACACAAUCCCGGGGCGUUCUAUAUAGUUAUGUAUAAUGUAUAUUUAUAUUAUUUAUGCCUCUAACUGGAACGUACCUUGAGCAUAUAUGCUGUGACCCGAAAGAUGGUGAACUAUACUUGAUCAGGUUGAAGUCAGGGGAAACCCUGAUGGAAGACCGAAACAGUUCUGACGUGCAAAUCGAUUGUCAGAAUUGAGUAUAGGGGCGAAAGACCAAUCGAACCAUCUAGUAGCUGGUUCCUUCCGAAGUUUCCCUCAGGAUAGCUGGUGCAUUUUAAUAUUAUAUAAAAUAAUCUUAUCUGGUAAAGCGAAUGAUUAGAGGCCUUAGGGUCGAAACGAUCUUAACCUAUUCUCAAACUUUAAAUGGGUAAGAACCUUAACUUUCUUGAUAUGAAGUUCAAGGUUAUGAUAUAAUGUGCCCAGUGGGCCACUUUUGGUAAGCAGAACUGGCGCUGUGGGAUGAACCAAACGUAAUGUUACGGUGCCCAAAUUAACAACUCAUGCAGAUACCAUGAAAGGCGUUGGUUGCUUAAAACAGCAGGACGGUGAUCAUGGAAGUCGAAAUCCGCUAAGGAGUGUGUAACAACUCACCUGCCGAAGCAACUAGCCCUUAAAAUGGAUGGCGCUUAAGUUGUAUACCUAUACAUUACCGCUAAAGUAGAUGAUUUAUAUUACUUGUGAUAUAAAUUUUGAAACUUUAGUGAGUAGGAAGGUACAAUGGUAUGCGUAGAAGUGUUUGGCGUAAGCCUGCAUGGAGCUGCCAUUGGUACAGAUCUUGGUGGUAGUAGCAAAUAAUCGAAUGAGACCUUGGAGGACUGAAGUGGAGAAGGGUUUCGUGUGAACAGUGGUUGAUCACGAGUUAGUCGGUCCUAAGUUCAAGGCGAAAGCCGAAAAUUUUCAAGUAAAACAAAAUGCCUAACUAUAUAAACAAAGCGAAUUAUAAUACACUUGAAUAAUUUUGAACGAAAGGGAAUACGGUUCCAAUUCCGUAACCUGUUGAGUAUCCGUUUGUUAUUAAAUAUGGGCCUCGUGCUCAUCCUGGCAACAGGAACGACCAUAAAGAAGCCGUCGAGAGAUAUCGGAAGAGUUUUCUUUUCUGUUUUAUAGCCGUACUACCAUGGAAGUCUUUCGCAGAGAGAUAUGGUAGAUGGGCUAGAAGAGCAUGACAUAUACUGUUGUGUCGAUAUUUUCUCCUCGGACCUUGAAAAUUUAUGGUGGGGACACGCAAACUUCUCAACAGGCCGUACCAAUAUCCGCAGCUGGUCUCCAAGGUGAAGAGUCUCUAGUCGAUAGAAUAAUGUAGGUAAGGGAAGUCGGCAAAUUAGAUCCGUAACUUCGGGAUAAGGAUUGGCUCUGAAGAUUGAGAUAGUCGGGCUUGAUUGGGAAACAAUAACAUGGUUUAUGUGCUCGUUCUGGGUAAAUAGAGUUUCUAGCAUUUAUGUUAGUUACUUGUUCCCGCGAUAGUUUAGUUACGUAGCCAAUUGUGGAACUUUCUUGCUAAAAUUUUUAAGAAUACUAUUUGGGUUAAACCAAUUAGUUCUUAUUAAUUAUAACGAUUAUCAAUUAACAAUCAAUUCAGAACUGGCACGGACUUGGGGAAUCCGACUGUCUAAUUAAAACAAAGCAUUGUGAUGGCCCUAGCGGGUGUUGACACAAUGUGAUUUCUGCCCAGUGCUCUGAAUGUCAAAGUGAAGAAAUUCAAGUAAGCGCGGGUCAACGGCGGGAGUAACUAUGACUCUCUUAAGGUAGCCAAAUGCCUCGUCAUCUAAUUAGUGACG
This 3245-nucleotide ribosomal RNA is filed under the name Drosophila melanogaster (fruit fly). Its description in RNAcentral is "eukaryotic LSU rRNA". The stretch from base 573 to 3245 matches the Rfam family "Eukaryotic large subunit ribosomal RNA", at positions 1 to 2311 of the family's 3401-position model. The record is from RNAcentral. Lineage: Eukaryota; Metazoa; Arthropoda; Insecta; Diptera; Drosophilidae.